AUAGCUCAACAGGUAGAGCACAGGGCUUGCAAACCUGAGACUCCUGGUUUAAUCCCUGAU
RNAcentral lists this transfer RNA (60 nucleotides) under Erinaceus europaeus (western European hedgehog). It matches the Rfam family "tRNA", at positions 7 to 64 of the family's 71-position model. From Rfam's summary of the family: Transfer RNA (tRNA) molecules are approximately 80 nucleotides in length. Lineage: Eukaryota; Metazoa; Chordata; Mammalia; Eulipotyphla; Erinaceidae. The record is from Rfam by way of RNAcentral.